Molecule: ribosomal RNA, 333 nt
Filed under: uncultured Pseudomonadota bacterium
Lineage: Bacteria; Pseudomonadati; Pseudomonadota
Description: bacterial SSU rRNA
Rfam family: Bacterial small subunit ribosomal RNA
Source: RNAcentral
AAUGAACGCUGGCGGCGUGCCUAACACAUGCAAGUCGUACGAGAAAGGGGCUUCGGCCCUGAGUAGAGUGGCGCACGGGUGAGUAACGCGUGGGUAAUCUACCCUUGGAUUUGGGAUAACUCUGCGAAAGUGGAGCUAAUACCGGAUAGUCUGGCUUUAAAUAAGAAGUCGGUAAAGGAUGCCUCUGCAUAUGCAUUCGUCCGAGGAUGAGCCCGCGUCUCAUUAGCUAGUUGGUAGGGUAAUGGCCUACCAAGGCAACGAUGAGUAGCUGGUCUGAGAGGAUGAUCAGCCACACUGGAACUGAAACACGGUCCAGACUCCUACGGGAGGCAG